UCCCUGGUGGCUCAGAUGGUAAAGAAUCUGCCUGCAAUGUAGGAGACCCGGGUUCGAUCCCUGGGUCGGGAA
This 72-nucleotide transfer RNA is filed under the name Bos taurus (domestic cattle). It matches the Rfam family "tRNA". From Rfam's summary of the family: Transfer RNA (tRNA) molecules are approximately 80 nucleotides in length. The record is from Rfam by way of RNAcentral. Lineage: Eukaryota; Metazoa; Chordata; Mammalia; Artiodactyla; Bovidae. RNAcentral also lists the same sequence under 2 other names.